UACGUAGGUGGCGAGCGUUAUCCGGAAUGAUUGGGCGUAAAGGGUGCGCAGGCGGUCCUGCAAGUCUGGAGUGAAACGUAUGAGCUCAACUCAUGCAUGGCUCUGGAAACUGGAGGCCUUGAGUGCACACAGGGAUGCCGGAAUUCAUGGUGUAGCGGUGAAAUGCUUAGAUAUCAUGAAGAACUCCGAUCGCGAAGGCAAGUGUCCGGGGUGCAACUGACGCUGAGGCUCGAAAGUGCGGGUAUCAAACAGG
This 253-nucleotide ribosomal RNA is filed under the name uncultured bacterium. RNAcentral describes it as "partial 16S ribosomal RNA". It matches the Rfam family "Bacterial small subunit ribosomal RNA", at positions 524 to 776 of the family's 1533-position model. The record is from RNAcentral.